AGUUUGGAUCCUGGCUCAGGAUGAACGCUGGCGGCGUGCCUUAACACAUGCAAGUCGAACGGUGAACACGGAGCUUGCUCUGUGGGAUCAGUGGCGAACGGGUGAGUAACACGUGAGCAACCUGCCCCUGACUCUGGGAUAAGCGCUGGAAACGGCGUCUAAUACUGGAUAUGUGACGUGACCGCAUGGUCUGCGUUUGGAAAGAUUUUUCGGUUGGGGAUGGGCUCGCGGCCUAUCAGCUUGUUGGUGAGGUAAUGGCUCACCAAGGCGUCGACGGGUAGCCGGCCUGAGAGGGUGACCGGCCACACUGGGACUGAGACACGGCCCAGACUCCUACGGGAGGCAGCAGUGGGGAAUAUUGCACAAUGGGCGGAAGCCUGAUGCAGCAACGCCGCGUGAGGGAUGACGGCCUUCGGGUUGUAAACCUCUUUUAGCAGGGAAGAAGCGAAAGUGACGGUACCUGCAGAAAAAGCGCCGGCUAACUACGUGCCAGCAGCCGCGGUAAUACGUAGGGCGCAAGCGUUAUCCGGAAUUAUUGGGCGUAAAGAGCUCGUAGGCGGUUUGUCGCGUCUGCUGUGAAAUCCCGAGGCUCAACCUCGGGCCUGCAGUGGGUACGGGCAGACUAGAGUGCGGUAGGGGAGAUUGGAAUUCCUGGUGUAGCGGUGGAAUGCGCAGAUAUCAGGAGGAACACCGAUGGCGAAGGCAGAUCUCUGGGCCGUAACUGACGCUGAGGAGCGAAAGGGUGGGGAGCAAACAGGCUUAGAUACCCUGGUAGUCCACCCCGUAAACGUUGGGAACUAGUUGUGGGGUCCAUUCCACGGAUUCCGUGACGCAGCUAACGCAUUAAGUUCCCCGCCUGGGGAGUACGGCCGCAAGGCUAAAACUCAAAGGAAUUGACGGGGACCCGCACAAGCGGCGGAGCAUGCGGAUUAAUUCGAUGCAACGCGAAGAACCUUACCAAGGCUUGACAUAUACGAGAACGGGCCAGAAAUGGUCAACUCUUUGGACACUCGUAAACAGGUGGUGCAUGGUUGUCGUCAGCUCGUGUCGUGAGAUGUUGGGUUAAGUCCCGCAACGAGCGCAACCCUCGUUCUAUGUUGCCAGCACGUAAUGGUGGGAACUCAUGGGAUACUGCCGGGGUCAACUCGGAGGAAGGUGGGGAUGACGUCAAAUCAUCAUGCCCCUUAUGUCUUGGGCUUCACGCAUGCUACAAUGGCCGGUACAAAGGGCUGCAAUACCGUGAGGUGGAGCGAAUCCCAAAAAGCCGGUCCCAGUUCGGAUUGAGGUCUGCAACUCGACCUCAUGAAGUCGGAGUCGCUAGUAAUCGCAGAUCAG
RNAcentral lists this ribosomal RNA (1335 nucleotides) under Microbacterium paraoxydans. Its description in RNAcentral is "bacterial SSU rRNA". It matches the Rfam family "Bacterial small subunit ribosomal RNA", at positions 10 to 1352 of the family's 1533-position model. Lineage: Bacteria; Bacillati; Actinomycetota; Actinomycetes; Micrococcales; Microbacteriaceae. The record is from RNAcentral.